CAUGGGGUUGGCUUUCACCGUGUCCUCAAUUUGGAUCCCCAGGGCAGAAAAAUUAGGACUUUCUCAGUUAAAGAAAAAGCCAAAAGUGAAACAAAAUCUCUGGAGAGUUGUGUUUCCCCACAGCAGCGACGGCCCCUCAGCACCCGCUUCUGUUCAGUCAGGACCCUCGGACUUUUACCAGUAAAUAUCGGUUUAUUCCUGAAACCAGAAGCCCUAAACAUACCUUUGUUUAUAAGUUUUCCUGCUCUGCAUCUCUGGGAACUGGAGCCCGCAGGACCUAGAGCCUUCUGUUGGUAACGUAGACCCGAGUUUACAAAUUAUUCUUUUACCAUUUUAAAUCCUGCUUUUAAGGACAGAGGUGUUCCCUCCUGCCCACCACGGGAAGUGGUAGAAACCCCUGCAAAUGCCCAAAUUGCUCCUCCUCUCCGAAGCCUGCGGCCUGGGUGGUUCUGAUUGCUGGCAGUUCUGUAAUACAACCUUAAUCUGAGCAGUUGAGGCUGGUCCUACCUUAUCUUCAGACGUCUUGCGGAGGACUCCUGUUACCAGUUUGGUACUCAAAAGCUACACCCCACCAUCAGAAGUCACUUUUUGUUUUUUUCCAAAGGCAGUGAUAGCUCACCCUCUCUAGCUCUAAUGGAAAACAUGAUAAUUGCAAUGCAACUUUCUAAUAAAUUGUUCAUAUAUUCAUAAUUCCGUUGCAAUCCCAAAUUGGAGAAGAGAUCUGUUAAAGUGCACUGGUGUACCAAGGCUCAGAACCACUGCUUUCUCCAGCUCAUAGGAUGCUUUUCCAGACUGUGGAUACGUGUAUGUGUACUGCUGUGUUGAUAAGUAAAAACCAACGAUGGAGUUCGUUGCUUUUAUACAUCCCAAAGAGAAGUUCUCCACCGUUCCCUGUCUGUUUUCUGACCGAAAAGGCGUGUUUGUGAACAGUGUUCACGCGAGCUCUGCCAUCCCACCCUCACAUCAGCUCACACCAAUGCCAGGAUGGGAGGAGUUGCCAGCGGACCUUCCCCAAAAACACCCCGGGCCCGCAGUGGCAUCGUCAGGGAGCAGUUCAAACCUGUGUCCUUUGGGCUUUGUGUAAAGCAAACGCAGAACGAGAAAAAUCGAGAUGUUAAAUCCAUUAGAAAACCAAUUCCUUAUUGUACAGUAGUAUGGAGAUCUCUAGUCAACCUGCCAUUAAUAAUAGAUUCUUAUUUUUUGAAUGAUCUAUUUAAAAGAACAGCAAGCAUUGUAUUUGCUAGUAAAUCUGAAGUGUUUACAUGGAAUUACUAAAUAAAUUAUUUGAUCUAA
Molecule: long non-coding RNA, 1293 nt
Organism: Chiroxiphia lanceolata (lance-tailed manakin)
Lineage: Eukaryota; Metazoa; Chordata; Aves; Passeriformes; Pipridae
Exons: 5
Source: RefSeq, a predicted model, not a curated record